This 487-nucleotide ribosomal RNA is filed under the name Dactylogyrus rarissimus. RNAcentral's name for it is "bacterial SSU rRNA". It matches the Rfam family "Eukaryotic small subunit ribosomal RNA", at positions 1360 to 1831 of the family's 1831-position model. The record is from RNAcentral. Lineage: Eukaryota; Metazoa; Platyhelminthes; Monogenea; Dactylogyridea; Dactylogyridae.
UUUUUAUGUGGACCUCUGUCCUUGUGCCUCUGGUGCUUGGAUGGAACCACAUAAGCAGGUGAAACUUCUUAGAGGAACUGGCGCCCGAAAAGGCGCACGAGAAAGAGCAAUAACAGGUCUGUGAUGCCCUAAGAUGUCCGGGGCCGCACGCGUGCUACAAUGACGAUGCUACUGAGCAUGAUUAACUUGUCCGAAAGGAUUGGUGAAACUGUUCAAUCAUCGUCGUGACUGGGAUUGGGGUUUGCAAUUGUCCCCCAUGAACCAGGAAUUCCUAGUAAGCACAAGUCAUAAGCUUGUGCUGAUUACGUCCCUGCCCUUUGUACACACCGCCCGUCGCUACUACCGAUUGAAUGGUUUAGCAAGGACGCUGGAUUGAGCCCUUGCGGUUUCGGCUGCUUGGGUUUGAGAAGAUGUCCGAACUUGAUCAUUUAGAGGAAGUAAAAGUCGUAACAAGGUUUCCGUAGGUGAACCUGCGGAAGGAUCAUUA